This 216-nucleotide long non-coding RNA is filed under the name Elaeis guineensis (African oil palm). RNAcentral's name for it is "long non-coding RNA (EGUI_LNC017485)". Lineage: Eukaryota; Viridiplantae; Streptophyta; Magnoliopsida; Arecales; Arecaceae. The record is from RNAcentral.
GAGAGUGUCUAGACGAUCGCUGCUUUGGAGAAGAAGAAGGUGAGCAUCGUAGAGGACGGCGCCUGCGCCUAGAUGGCACGGAAUGAGCCACCGACUCCUCCACCAGUGGCUGCUACUGCUGCUGGAUUUGCUGCUGCUGGAGGCUUUGAACCGCCUUCGUUAAUACUUUCAUUUACUGCAUGAGCACAGCAAUUUACGCGUCCGUUGUGACCAUAG